Molecule: ribosomal RNA, 778 nt
Filed under: uncultured Neocallimastigales
Lineage: Eukaryota; Fungi; Neocallimastigomycota; Neocallimastigomycetes; Neocallimastigales
Description: partial large subunit ribosomal RNA
Rfam family: Eukaryotic large subunit ribosomal RNA
Source: RNAcentral
UAUCUCUGUAGAGUCUGCAUAUCAAUAAGCGGAGGAAAAGAAACUAACUAGGAUUCCCUUCAGUAACGGCGAGUGAAGCGGGAAGAGCUCAAAUUUGAAAUCUUCAAGGUUCUACCUUGACGAAUUGUAGUUUAAAGAAGUGUUUUCUGUUGGAGUUUUGGUAAAAGUUCUUUGGAAUAGGACAUCAUAGAGGGUGAGAAUCCCGUAUUUGACCAUUCUUUCCAGCUGUGUGAUACACUUUCAAAGAGUCGGAUUGUUUGGGAAUGCAGUCCCAAAAUGGGUGGUAAAUUUCAUCUAAAGCUAAAUAUUGGCGAGAGACCGAUAGCGAACAAGUACCGUGAGGGAAAGAUGAAAAGAACUUUGAAAAGAGAGUUAAACAGUACGUGAAAUUGUCAAAAGGGAAGCGUUUGACACCAGUGUUGUUUUCUCGAAAAUCAAUUAAAAAUGAUGCCGGAUUUUGUGUUGUAUUGACUUUAUCAGCUUUCUGCACUUUUUUCUUGUCUUUUUUAAUGCACUUUUCGUUUAACAAGUCAACAUCAAUUUCUUUUGUUGUAAAAGAGUCAUUGGAAGGUGGCUUUCACUUCGGUGAAAGUGUUUAUAGCCUUUGACUUCUGCAAUCGGAGAGAUUGAGGUCUGCAGCGUAGAUCCUUCGGGGUUAGAUACAUUUGUGCUAAGUUAUAGCUUUUCAUAGACAACUUGUUGACUAUGAUAAGUCUUGUAAUUUACUCGCAGAUGCUAUUUUACCUACGCUUAGGAUGUUGAGUAGCGACAUACGCAC